Molecule: unclassified non-coding RNA, 247 nt
Filed under: Hevea brasiliensis (rubber tree)
Lineage: Eukaryota; Viridiplantae; Streptophyta; Magnoliopsida; Malpighiales; Euphorbiaceae
Source: RNAcentral
AUGCUCUAAAGCAUACUACUAACACUACUUACCAGAAAUAAGAACUCUAAAACCAUAUACUAUCUUUGUGAAUUGUGAAAGAAUGUUUGUACCUAUUUAAUUGAACAGCUUGAUAUCAGACAACAUUAGGUUCAUCAGUCCUAACAUAGUGAGGCCAUAUAGUUUGGAUGAUACACUCUUUGCCUUGAAGGCUGACCCAAAAAGCAUAAAAGUUUGGGCAGUUUAAUUUUGCUUUGCUUCAAUAAAA